GACAAAGACGAAGGGACAGUUUCGAAGACAGAAGGGCGGGGUUUCGUUUUCAAACCAAACAUACUUUACCUCGGAUACGCAAAAGCAACCAAAAUAUUAUUGAAAAAAAAAAACACACACACAAAAAACAGCUCUCUCUCUCUCUCUCGUAAUUCGUGCACCAAUCUCAUCACUCCAUCCCUGCACCAACCAAACCCUCACUUUCCUUAAACCCACAUCUCUCACCAUCUGGGUUCGUGGGUUUAGGAUGCGUUUACUAGUUCGAACCCAAGCCCAUGCUGGCCGUGGCCUUCGUCACCUUGUGAUUCAGUUCCCUGAGAGAUGGUUUGUGCUCAAAAGGUUCAGAGAUGUUAAUGAUGCCUGCUGCAAGGGUUGUGCUCUAUUCCAACAUAAUAGAUGAAAAAUUUCUCACUAAAAGGUACUGUUGGAGUUUAUGCAUUAAUAUACUUCAGGUCUGGAAUAGGGAAUGAAGCCAUUGGUCCGCAUAACUUAGCUAUCUUUGUAUCAUAUUAAGAUUCACUUUAUAUUUUUCUUUUUUAUCUAUUUUGAAAUUCUUUGGAUAAUAGAUGCCUUGCUGCACCUUCUAUUUCUA
Molecule: long non-coding RNA, 592 nt
Organism: Juglans microcarpa x Juglans regia
Lineage: Eukaryota; Viridiplantae; Streptophyta; Magnoliopsida; Fagales; Juglandaceae
Exons: 2
Source: RefSeq, a predicted model, not a curated record